GUGAUUGGAUUGCAUGUGUUUGCAGGCUCCUUGCUUUGUGCAUCGAACUGUUGGCACACCAUCCGCUUCAAUUUUUCCCGAAGCCCUUUCCUUGGCUUGCGGGUUCGGUUGGUAUCCUGUGUUGCUUACCCCACGUAUUGGAAUUGAUUGGUUUCGGUGCUCUCAUCUGCCUUAUGCCUUUUUGGGUGUGGGGCGGACGCGAGGCGGGCUUUGUGCUCCUGGCAUGCUUCGUGCUAAGUUGCGUGGCUGUCUUGGCGCAUGAAGUCUUCGCUCGUGCUCUUGGAUGCGGAAUGUUUAUGCGUGGGCACGGGGCCUCGGCCUUGAUCCGCCCGAGCUUUACGCAAAUGUCCCUUGACGCGAAUGACAGCUGCUCCCGUCUCGAUUCCGCCGUGCGGUUCGUGCGGGAGUCGGCGUCACCAAGGAAUGCUACCUGGUUGAUCCUGCCAGUAGUCAUAUGCUUGUCUCAAAAAUUAAGCCAUGCAU
Molecule: unclassified non-coding RNA, 483 nt
Filed under: Aglaia aff. subminutiflora JS-2020
Lineage: Eukaryota; Viridiplantae; Streptophyta; Magnoliopsida; Sapindales; Meliaceae
Description: partial external transcribed spacer
Rfam family: Eukaryotic small subunit ribosomal RNA (bases 428-483)
Source: RNAcentral